UACGUAGGGUGCGAGCGUUGUCCGGAAUUACUGGGCGUAAAGAGCUCGUAGGCGGUGUGUCGCGUCGGCCGUGAAAACCUGCAGCUUAACUGUGGGCGUGCGGUCGAUACGGGCAUCACUGGAGUUCGGCAGGGGAGACUGGAAUUCCUGGUGUAGCGGUGAAAUGCGCAGAUAUCAGGAGGAACACCGGUGGCGAAGGCGGGUCUCUGGGCCGAUACUGACGCUGAGGAGCGAAAGCGUGGGGAGCAAACAGG
This 254-nucleotide ribosomal RNA is filed under the name uncultured bacterium. Its description in RNAcentral is "partial 16S ribosomal RNA". It matches the Rfam family "Bacterial small subunit ribosomal RNA", at positions 524 to 776 of the family's 1533-position model. The record is from RNAcentral.